Long non-coding RNA from Alligator mississippiensis (American alligator), 14896 nucleotides. RefSeq lists it as uncharacterized. The transcript is spliced from 3 exons. NCBI's taxonomy places the organism in Eukaryota, Metazoa, Chordata, Crocodylia, Alligatoridae. The record is from RefSeq and is a predicted model, not a curated record.
UGAGGCCGCAGCUGGAGUACUGCAUCCAGUUUUGGGCUCCACAAUUCAAAAAGGAUGUGGAGAAGCUUGAGAGAGUCCAGAGAAGAGCCACGCGCAUGAUCAGAGGUCAGGGAAGCAGACCCUACGAUGACAGGCUGAGAGCCCUGGGGCUCUUUAGCCUGGAAAAGCGCAGGCUCAGGGGUGAUCUGAUGGCCACCUACAAGUUUAUCAGAGGUGACCACCAGUAUCUGGGGGAACGUUUGUUCACCAGAGCGCCCCAAGGGAUGACGAGGACGAAUGGUCACAAACUACUACAAGAUCGUUUCAGGCUGGACACAAGGAAGAAUUUCUUUACUGUCCGAGCCCCCAAUGUCUGGAACAGCCUGCCACCGGAGGUUGUUCAAGCACCUUCAUUGAACACCUUCAAGAUGAAACUGGAUGCUUAUCUUGCUGGGAUCCUAUGACCCCAGCUGACGUCCUGCCCUUUGGGCGGGGGGCUGGACUCGAUGAUCUUCCAAGGUCCCUUCCAGCCCUAAUGUCUAUGAAAUCUAUGAAAUAAAGCAGAUAUGUGCAUAGAUAAUGAAGAUAUACAUACACAUAACUCAGAGAUGUGCAUAGAUAAUGCAGAUAUAGAAUCACAGAAUCAUAGCGAAUGAGGUUUGGAAGGGACUUCAGGAGGUCAUCUAGUCCAAACCCCUGCUCAAAGCAGGACCAGCCCCAACUAUCUCAUCUCAGCUAAGGCUUUGUGUAGCAGGGUCUUAAAAACCUCCAAAAAUGGAGAUUGUACAACCUCUCUGGGUAGCCUGUUCCAAUGCUUUACUACCCUCCUUGUGAGAGUGUUUUUCCUAAUGUCUAACCUAAACUUCCCUCGCUCUAAUUGGGGAGUCUUGCUCCUUGUUUUGUUAUAUAUAUGCAGAUAUAUGUAUAUAUAACACGGCUGCAUAUAUUAUGUAAAUAUGUGUGCAUACAACACAGAUGUGCAUGGAUUAUGCAGAUAUGUGCAUAUGUAAUGUGAGAUGUGCACUGGUAAUGCGGCCAGCCUGUACCUUUAUAAUACAGGUAUAUGCAGAUAUAAUACAGACGUGCAUUUCUAAUACAGAUAUAUGCAUAUCUAAUACAGAGAUGUAUGUAGAUACUAUGGAUAUGUGCAUAUAUAAUGCAGAGAUGUACAUAGAUAAUGCAUAUAUAUGCAUAUAUAGCAGAGAUUCCCUGGAUAUAAUCAUUCCCUGCCCUCACACUCCCUGCUCCCUCCUAGAUUUGCUUACCUCUGACAUCAAGCAUGACAUCAUGUGCGCCAAGCGGGUGGUGCAGGACCCUAUGGGCAUGGAGUCAUGGGAAGAGUGGAAGACCCACUGCGAGGGGAAGGAAGUGGGAGAAUGGAUCAAGGGCUGCGGCCUGUGAGCCCCAGUAGUCCAUCCAUCCGUCCAUCCUCCUCAUGUCUGUCUGUCAGGCGAGUGUUCAGCCCUUUCCAAAAUGUAUAAAUCCCUUGGGGUCAAACCCUGCCUGUGUCUCUGUUUGCCCCCUGGUUCAGCUAGCUCCCUGUGCUGUUAUACUGUGCCUUUCCCCAGAGCUGGUUGCAUCCCAGCACCAGCAAACCCUACCCAUGUGGCAUUACAAGCAGCCACUCCCCAGCCACCCCACCCCACCCCAGAGCUGGCUGCAUCAAGUCAGUUCUUUAUCUAGCCAGCUCCAUCCCAUCUGCCUCACCCUAGAGAUGGCUGCAUCCCAGGAGUGAGUGAGCCCUCCCCAUGUGACAUUAUACACAGCUGCCCCACCCAAGAACUGACUGCAUCCCAGGACCAGGGGAGCCCUCAUUGUACAGUGUUAUAGGCACAGAUGCCUCACCCCAGAGCUGGCUGCUUCUCAGCACCAACAAAUCCUACCCACAUGGCAUUAUAAGCAGCAGUUCCCCAGCUGUGUUACCUCAGAGCUGGCUUCAUCAAGUCAGCUGACUCUAGUCAGCUGCAGCUGCAUCCCAGCUACCUCAGUCCACAGCAGAACAGUAUUAUAGGCAGCUGCUCUCCGGUGGCCUCGCCCCAGAGCUGACUGUAUCUUGGCACCAGCACACCUAACCCAUGUGGUGUUAUAAGCAACCAUUCCCCAUGUGUUCCACCCCAGAGCUGCCUGCAUCAAGACAGUUCUGCAGCAUUCUAGUCAGCUGCAUCCCAGCUGCUUCACCCCAGAGCUGGCUGCAUCUCAGGACCAGAUGAGCCCUCUCCUACAGCAUUAUAGGCAGCUGCUCCCCAGCUGCUCCACCCCAGAGCUGGCUGCACCUUGGUAUCGGCCAACUCUAUUCAUGUGGCAUUAUAAGCAGCUGUUCCCCAGCUGCCUUGCCCCAGAGCUGUCUACAUGUAGGCUUAGUGCAUGCCCUCUCUUGUGCAGCAUUAUAGGAUGCCCUCCUUCCUUCAUCCCCUUCUCUCCCUUCCACCUGCCUGGUGCCCCUUGAUGCUCAUAGGCCUGCGUGCAGCUCUGGGCAUCACACUUUGUGCCUGUCCUCUGCUCCCACCUCUGGCUUCAGUCUGGGCCUAAUCCUUGGGGCAGGGUACAGGCAAAGACCCCUGAUUCCUCAGGCUGGAUCUCAUGGCUCCAAGGGUCAUAGCUUGCCAACCCAAGGCCUACAGCACAGUGAAAAGAAAUACUGUAUUUCCUCACAUACCACAUGGCUCUGAAUAGGACCUGUCCCUUGUUUCUGGGAAGGCAGAAUGAAGAGAGAUUUUUUCCAGUGUUAUAGCUGUAUAAAGAGGCUUGUCUUCUGCUCAUUCCCUCUCCAUUUCCUGGUCAAGCAAAACCUAAGGGCCUUGCUAUAUAUUCAAAUUAAAGUUGGCUAGAAACCAGCUGUAGAGUCACUAUACAUUUUCAAGCACUAACUUUAUAGCUGGAUAGCCAUUUUUAUGGCCAUUUUUAUGACACGUGUGGCUGGGGGUUUUUUUUGCACAUGUGGCUGGUCUUAUUUGGCAUAUGCAGCCAGUUUAAAUUUAGCACAUGAUUCACCAGUGAAUUGUGUGAUAUAUGUAACGUGUAGCAGGGGCCUAAUGUUUUUAGCCCUUUCCUAAUUGAUUUGGGUGCUUUCGCCUGGACAGGAAAAGGAGGGGGGGAAAUGAGCUGAAGAUGAGGGAAUAGGAAGGGAGAGAAGGAAAAGCAGCAGGAGCCAUUUUGCAGUAUCUCUAUGCUUCUAUUCUGGGCAGAAAAAUCAGCUUCCUUACUCAAGACAUACACUUGCCAAUUUUGAAGAGCUGGUUUUGGACAAAAAUGUACAUGUGGUAUAGAAGGAAAUGGAUGGUUGUGUGUGUGUGUGUGUGUGUGUGUGUGUGUGUGUGUGUGGGGCUGAAUAAAAUCUCUUCACAGGAUGGAUCUGACAUGCAGGCCUCCUACCCAUUUAUCUUUUUCCUGGAAAUUGUGUCUCUGGGUAAAACGGAGAAAGAAAAACUCACUCUGUGGUGCCACCAUCAUCUAAAGCAAGGAUUUUCAACCAGUUUAGACCCAGGUCUCUCCUUGUUAGAGUCCUGGUCCCUCUUGGAAAGUGCCACUCUUGGCCUCCACUUAUUUUUUUGACCAUAGAAAAAAAUCCUAGAGUGAUUCGUCUGAGACAAAGACUUCAGGAAGCUCUGAGCAGGGUAGAAGGCUUUGGAUGCUCUGGAUUCCUCUUGGAAAUCCCCAGGUUCCUCAUGAAUCAUAUGUAGGUGUUUGCACUUGGGUUGGGUAUUUGACUGGUCAAAUAAAGUUUGGUCAAUUGACUGGUCAAAUAGUUUCAUAGUUGGUAGGGUUGGAAGGGACCUGAGCAGAUCAUCAAGUCCGACCUCCUGCCAUGGCAGGAAAAAAGUACUGGGGUCAAACGACCCCAGCAAGGUGUUCGUCUAACCUCCUCUUAAAGACCCCCAGGGUAGGAGCCAGCGCCACUUCUCUUGGAAGUUGGUUCCAGAUCCUAGCCGCCCUGACAGUGAAGUAGCGCCUUCUGAUGUCUAGCCUGAAUCUACCCUCUGCCAGCUUGUAACCAUUAUUUCUAGUCACUCCUGGUAGCUCUCAGGGGAGCAGGGACUCCCCCAAUGCCUGCUGGUCCCACCUGACUAGUUUCUAACAGGCCACUAGAUCCCCCUCAGCUUUCUCUUGUGGAGGCUGAACAGGUUCAGGUCCCGUAGCCUCUCCUCAUAGGGCCUGCCCUGCUGCCCCCUGACCAUGCGAGUGGCCCUCCUCUGGACCCGCUCCAAGUUGUCCACGUCCCUCCUGAAGUGCAGCACCCAGAACUAGAUGCAGUACUCCAACUGCGGCCUGACCAGUGUCGCAUAGAGGGGGAGGACCUCUUUGGACCUGCUCGAGAUGCAUCUGUGGAUGCAUGACAAGGUGUGGUUGGCCUUCUUGAAUGCAUCCCCACACUGCCAGCCCAUGUUCAUUUUGGCAUCAAUAAUGACACCAAGAUCCUUUUCUGCCUCUGCAUUGAUGAGAAAUAUUGGUCCAAAAUUGUAAAAAAUUUCCAAUAGGUCCAAAUAAUGCGGAAAAAGUAAAAAUUUUCUAUUGAGAAAUGUCUAAAAAAAAAUAGAAAGUCACAUUUCUGUCAAGAAAACUACAAAAAUAAAUAUAUUUGUUUUGUAAAAUUGCUAUAAUCUUUGACUGGUCAAAAAUGCAGUCAACUGUCAGUCAUUGACAAUAUGUGACUGGUCAGUUGAUUGGCUUGCCAACCCUCGUUUGCACACUGAACAAUGCAAGUAUAAUAUUUUAUUGCAUACAACAUGCACCCAGUCCCCCCAGAUCAGCCCUCUACAGUUGGCAUUGUGUAUGUUACAUGAAGAAGCAGAUUUACCACCUAGGAUAGCAACCCCUUGUUUUCAUUCCCGCUCCACAGCGCAGCAGCUGUGUCUACAUGGUGCAGGCAAAAAAGAGAUAUAUGGCUGUGCAGAUCAGAAGCUGCAUUGUUCUGCUGGCUCUUGGUUUCCAGCUUCUUCAGGUUGGAUCUCAGUCUCAGCUUUUUUCUCAUUUACCACUUCUGACACGAUGCUGCGAGCACUAUGAAAACAGGCAUGAAUGAGAAGCAAAACUGUUGCUCUAAGGCAUGUAGAGUAUGUUCUCAGGUGGUAUCUAGUUGCUGCUACUUAUAAUACACAGGCCACUGGGGGUUAUGUAUUUGGAAAGGUCAAUACUAGCAAGAAAUCUUCCAGAUUUCAGAGGCCUUGAAAAAAAACCCAGCUCAGAUCCAUGAAAGCUCAAAAAGGUUUAUUAUCCCCAGACAGUCCACCAGCUGGUCUAAUGAAUAGCCAGUUCAACUUGGAGCAACUUGUCCGCAACAGGUAGAGCUGUCAUACAGGAUUCAUGCUCCCCUAAGUCUCUACAAGGGGUAGGUCUCCCAACCCCUGUAUUCAUGUGCCCCCCUUCUUGUGCUAAUUCUCCCUCUCUGUCGAGACAUUUGUCUCUACUUGUUCUGUUGGCAAAGUUUAUGCAUCUGCACUUCGGGUCUUGUGAUCUUUGUCUUAUUAGCAAGUCCAAAUCCUCUGCACUCACCACCAGCUGGGUGCUGUUGCUGGCCAAGGCCAAGCCCAGGUGGGGGAUCUCAGUGCCAUCUGCAAGCAUAGGGGAGGGCUCAGCACUGAGUGGGCCCAUCAUACCACCUGCCACCCCAGGUCUCCCCUCCCCCAAUUCACCAGGCAAAGGGAUGGGCUGGCAGUAACUGAUGCAGGUACCAUGCUGGUACAGCUGCCCCGUAGUGAUGUGAUCCCCCGGGGGCCCCACCACAAGCCUGAAGGGACAGUCAUGAAUUAAAACCACUAGCCACAGAACCCAGGCAUUCCGGCCGCCGGUACCCCCCUCCGUCACUCCCAGCCAACUCCCACCACUCUAAUCCAUCAGACCCACUCCUUUCCCAGAUAACCCAGGUUUCUCAGCCCUGCCUGCUCUCACCCAUUGGACCCCACUCCCCACCCAGAAACCCCAGGAAUCCAGGCACCCUACUCUGUUGUCUCUGCCAUGGUGCGGGGAGGCAUCCAUACCCAUCACUUCCAAACUACAGGACCUGGUGCCCUAAACUGAGGCCAGCAUCUGGGCCAAGAUAGCUUGGUGGGCUGUGUCCAUGCUAUACCCCAGAGUAGGGGCUGGGCCUGGGGGAGGGAAGCACAGAGUGGGGCUGGGUUAGAUCAGCCUGACUAGAGGCCUGAUCGCUUCCACCUCCCCCCACCCACUCUGCCAUGGUUUCUCACCCCCAGCAGUCAAGUGCCCUGCCCCACUUUGCACCUCCCCCCACACUUUUCCCAUGGAGUCUCUUCCUGUGAAGCUGGGGUUGGGGCCAGAAGGCAGAGUCCGUCCCCCCUCUCCCUGCCAUCCUACCGCCCUGUCAGUCAAGUCCCAAGAGGACCCCUAUGCCCUGUCUUCACCAUGGAAACCCUCAGCAGAACCUGGCUGGGCAAGGGGCCAUGUAUACCUAGCUCCACAAACUCCACCCCAGAGGUAGCUGCAGUUGUUACACCCACAUCCCAACAAACCCCACCACUAUUGCUAGGGCUAGAAAUACCAGGCCCCAACAGUUACUAAGAGCUGUGGAUUCCAGGUCCUAAUCAUAGCAAAGCUCUGAGGUGCCAGGCCCAGACUAUUGCUAAGGCCCAAGGUGUCAGACCUCAACCACUGCUAAAAGCAGAGGGCUCCAGGCUUCAGAUUCCAGGCCCCAACUCUUGCCAUGGCCCAAAGUCUCAAUUGUUGCUUAGGCCUGAGUGACCAGGCCCAGAUCAUUGUUAAGCCCCAAAGGGCCAGGCCCUGGCUGUUGCUUAGGCCUGAGGCACCAGGCUGAGACCAUCACUGAGGCCCAAGGUGCCAGGUCCCCACUGUCGUUAAGGCUGAAGGUGCCAGGCGACAACCAUUGUUAAAGUCUGAGGUGCCAGGCCCCAAUCCUUCUAAAGGCCUGAAGGCUCCAGACCUGGAGGCUAAGGCCCAAGGUGCCAGGCCUGGAUGGCUGCUGAUGCCCAAGGUGCCAGGACACCACUGUCACUAAAGCUUGAGGUGCCAGGCCUUGCAAAGGCCUGAAGGCUCCAGGCCCACACCAUUUGCCCUAUGACCAGUGGGGUCCCCCAAGGCUCUGUCCUUGGACCCAUACUGUUCAACAUCUUCAUUAAUGAUGUGGACAUUGGAGUCAGAAGCAGACUGGCCAAGUUUGCCGAUGACACCAAACUCUGGGGUAAAGCAUCCACACCUGAGGACAGGAGGGCAAUCCAGGCUGACCUUAACAGGCUCAGCAAAUGGGCGGACGAGAACCUGAUGGUGUUUAACACCAAAAAAUGCAAGGUUCUCCACCCUGGGAGGAAAAACCUGCAGCAUCCUUAUAGGCUCAGCAGUGCCAAGCUGGCUAGCACUAUGGAUGAAAGGGACUUGGGGAUCAUCAUUGACCACAAGAUGAACAUGAGCUUUCAGUACGAUGCUGCACCUAGUAAAGCGAGCAAAACGCUGGCUUACAUCCAUAGAUGCUUCUCAAGCAAAUCCCGGGACGUCAUUCUCCCAUUGUACUCAGCCUUGGUGAGGCCGCAGCUGGAAUACGGCAUCCAGUUUUGGGCCACACAAUUCAAAAAGGAUGUGGAGAAGCUUGAGAGAGUGCAGAGGAGAGCCACGCACAUGAUCAGAGGUCAUGAAAACAGACCUUAUGACAACAGGCUGAGAGCUAUGGGGCUCUUUAGCCUAGAAGAGCGCAGGCUCAGGGGUGAUCUGAUGGCCACCUAUAAGUUUAUCAGGGUGAUCACUAGUACCUGGGGGAACGUUUGUUCACCAGAGCGCCCCGAGGGAUGACGAGGUCGAACAGUUAUAAAUUACUGCAAGACCGUUUCGGGCUGGACAUAAGGAAGAAUUUCUUUACUGUCCGAGCCCCCAAGGUCUGGAAUAGCCUGCCAUCGGAGGUGGUUCAAGCACCUACAUUGAACACCUUCAAGAAAAAAUUGGAUGCUUAUCUUGCUGGGAUCCUAUGACCCCAGCUGACUUCCUGCCUUCGGCCAGGGGGCUGGACUCAAUGAUCUUCCAAGGUCCCUUCCAGCCCUAAUGUCUAUGAAAUCUAUGAAAUCUAUGAAAUUUCUAAGGUCUGAGGCUGUAGACUGAGACCACUGCUAAGGCCUGAGAGUAGGGUGACCACCCAUACCUAAUUGGGCAGGACAGUCCCAGAAUAGGAACCCCAAGUCCUGAUCCCGGGCUGCAUGACUGGGACUCUGUUCUAGAUUUGCAGUUUUGUACAGGGAUCUGGGUUUCCCCUUGCAGGCUGGCCUCAUUCCAGCCUGCAAGGGGCUGCUUGGGGCUGUUGGGAGUGGGACACAGGCAGUGCCACGUGCAUGUGUAGACCCAUGCACAUGCAUGUGCCUGGGAAUACAUCCAGGCAGUGUGGAGAGCAGCUCCCUGCAGAUAAAUCUAUGGGAAGGGGGCGCAGCAUGGAGCGGGUGGGGGCAGGGGUGCUGGGGGAGGGGACGGAUCAAGGCCCUCACAGUGAGGAAGGGAGUAGGGCAGGGACUGGGAGGUGCAUGGGGGUGCAUGGGACCUAGGGUCAGAGCUGAGGCAGGGCACAGGAUGGAGCCACGAGCAACUUGUCCAGGGAGCGCAGGAGAGGGGCAUGAGGGGGCACAUCCACCCCUGCCCCAUGCACAAAUCAGGGCCACCCACACCCCAUGAAUCCCCAAUUUGUGCAUGGGGCAGGGGUGGAUUUGGGCUACCCGCUGUGGGCUCACAGCUCCCUGCCCUGCUGCCUUUCUCUUGGGAGCCCUGCAUCAGCAGCACAGCCCCUGCCCACACAGCAGCAGCAGCGACGACAGCGGUAUGCAGUUGUACCCUCCACUGCUGCUGGGCGGGCAGGGACCGUGCAGCCCGAGCGGGGCUCCCAAGGGAAAGACAGCUGGGCAGGGAGGCCCAAGCCUGCAGCAGGCAGCCCGCAUCCACCCCCACCCCUGCCCUGGUCUGCUUUGGCCAUGCUAAUGGCAGGGGCAGGGGGAACAGGCAGGCAUGUGUCUUGCCUUUCCAUUUUGAAAAGGUUGUCACCCUACCUGAGAGUUCUAGACCCAGGCUGUCACUAAGGGCCAAAGUGCUAGGGUAAAAACAUCACUAAGGCCUAAGGCGCCAGGCCCAACCUUUAUCAAGGACUAAGGGUCCAAGCCCCAACUAUCGUUAAGACCUGAGGCACCAGGCCCAGAUUGUCACUAAGGCCUGAGGUGCCAAUCCCAGACUCACUAAUCAUCAGCCCCAGACUGCUGGUAAGGCCUGAAGUGUUAGGCCCAGACUGUGCUGAGGACCGAGACACCAGGCACAGACCACUGCAAAGGACCAAGAGCACCAGGCCAAGACUGUUGGUAGGUCUCAGAUGCCAAGUCCAGACCUUUACCAAGAACUGAAGGACCAGGCCACGACUGUUGCUAAGGCCUGACCAUAGCUAUGGCCUGCAGCACCAGUUCAUGACUACUGCUGAGCACCAAGAGCUCCAGGUUCAGUGUGUUGCAAAGGCCCAAGGUGCUAAGCCCCCACUGUUGCUGAGGCCCGAAGUGCCAGGCCCAGGUUCUAGCUGAGGCCUGAGGCACCAGGCUCAGACUAUCUCUAAGGCCCAAGAUGCCAUGCCCUGACCAUUGUUAAGGGCAGAGUGCUUGAGGCCCAGACCAGUGCCAAGGUUUGAGGUGCCAGGCCAGACCAUUGCUAAGGCACCAGUCCCAGACUGUCACUAAGGACCAAGGAGCCAGGCACAGACCACUGCUAAGGCCUGAGGUGUCAGGCCCCAAAUACUGCUAAGGACCAAGUACUCCGGGCUCCAACCUUUACCAAGGCCUGAGGUAUCAGGCCCCAGUGGUUGCUAAGGACCGAGGCACAAGGCUCAGACCACUGCAAAGGCCUGAGGUGCCAGGCCCAGACUGCUACCAUGGCUUGAAGUGCCAGAUCCAGACCAUCUCCGAAACCUGACAGUGCCUGACCUCAAUCACUGCUAGGGGCUGAGGCACCAGUCCCAGAAUGGCUCUUAGUGACAGUCUGGGUUUUUGACACUCAGGUUCUAACAAUGUGCUCAGCUUGGCCCCUGGAGCUUUCAGGCUCAGAAGUUGAUGCCUCCUGGGAAGUAGCCCAGCUCUUUAGGAUCAUCCUGCAGCAGUGGGCAGGUGGGGACUCUUGGGUUCACUCCGAGGCUGCAAAGACAGUUCUUCCCAAGUCAGGAUGUCUAAGAACACUUGGGGCCUUGAACUGGGGUGAGGCGAGGACACCUGGUACAGGGGGUAACACCACCCUUUGGAAUCCUUGGGGUUCAGAGUGCUGCCAGGCCCCAGGGGCACAUGGGUCCCUGCCCCUACUCCAAUUCUCUGAUUGAUGUCUCUCACCCCAGUAGUCCUGUUUCUCCCCAGAAGUUACAGGAGGCCCCUGUGUCUAAGUGGGCUGGAACGCCCCAGACAGGUGCUGUAGGCCAAGGGUGAGCCUUAGGGUUUGGUGGUGCUUGAGCCUUUUAUUCAAAUCAGAGGGGCUGGCUGAAUGAUCAGCCACCUGGACAAUGCCCCACUAAUGAGGCUGAGCCACUGAGUUUCCCCAAAGAGGAGGUGGGCAUUGCUUUCCUUGGGCAGGCAAUGCUGGUCACAACAUAGGCAGAGACCCUGGGGGCAAAGAUGAGCCUUUUGGUGGGGGGAGGGGAGUAGGGGGAGUCUUUUCCUGGUCAUAUCUACUUGCAUUGCUGCCAACCCAGGGCAGUGUUGUCUUUUCCAGGGCCCUGGCUGGCCCCAGGGACUGAGAUCUGGCCUAACACUCCUGUGGUUGCUCAGAUGGAUGUCAGUGCAGAUACUCAGAUCAACCAGUCCGUCCAAAGUAGCCAGGAGCUCCACCUGUGGCUAACUUGUCUUUAAUGUGGCCCUAGUGGAAGUGGAAGUGUUGACAGCCUCAUUCCAUUCAAUGUCGGUGACUGGCUGUCUACACUCGGGGCAUAACUCGAUCCUGGGUGGUGCCCCUGCUUGAGGGUCCUUAGAGCUCACUUCAUGGUACAGAGCUGCCAUGGGUGUCCAAAAAUCUUGACCAUGGCUUCAAUAAAGUCUUCAAGUUGCCAAAGAGGGGGUCUGUUGACUCCAGAAGUGCGAAAGCCACCAGUCAAAAGGCUGAUGGACAAGGGAAUGGGGCCUCCUUAACCCACCCUGUCUCUUGUUUCCUAGCAGGUUGAGACUGAAGGGCUCUAGUGGAGCGGGGACCAGGAGAUGCAGGUACAUACAAGGUGGGGGAGGGAGCUGGUGGUUCCCUUUGUGGGGCACAGGAUAGGACACAACCCCAGGGCCUGUCCCUGCCUAUUUGUGAGUCUGACUUGGGGGGAAGGGGGUUUUUGCUCUGACCUUUGAAAUGCUACUUGAGUCUUGGCAGAAUCAGGUCCCUCCCUGCAUCUGACUAGGUUUUGUGGGCUUUCCUUUACACUAAGAAGAGCAGCAUUGCUGUGGCAGGAAUUUUCCUUUGGGUGUCUGGCAAACUGGACUCUUAUGAAGUGGAAUUGGAGAAGCAAAGUUAUGAGUUGAUGGAGGUAGAAGAGCAGAGCGACAAGCCCAUGGGCUAUGAGGAGCAGCGGUAUGAGCAGGGAUCAGGUGGUGGAGAGGCAGGAGCACAAGGAUGAGGCAGCACAGCUGCAGAUAGGUAAGGAAGCAGGAAGCAGAUCAGCUAUCAAUGUACUGCUGUUCAAAGCUGAACGUGCUCAGCUGCUACAGCAACUGAACAACUAAUUCAUCAUGGCUGGUUUCUGAGCUUGUUUGUUGUCUCUAGGCAUAAAGCUGAAAGAAACACGGGGCUGAGCCAUCAACUGUAGGCAACUGGUAGGGGGAGUACAGGGGGGUGCCCCCCCCAACACGCCUGUCCCCCACUGCCGACACCGCCAGCAGCUUCUGUGGGUGCUUACUAGCCCCAUCUCCACUGCCGCCACCUCUGGCGGUUUCUGCGGGUGCUCACCAGCCCUGUCCCUGCCACCAAUGCUGCCGGCAGCUUCUGCGGGUGUCCCUGCAGACUCAGGAGGCACCAAUCACCCAUGCCAUCAAUGGAAGCUCACCAAAAGGUUGCACUAGUACAAGCCACAGAAAGCCAAGGAGCAGGUUGGGAAAGGGAUCAGUGGUGCUCAGGGAGGGUGCAGGGCUAAUUUGUGGCACUCUAACUCCCUACUGGAUUACAACAACCCCCUCUCUAAUUUAAACAUGGACAUUACAGGAGGCCCAAGGAGGGAGGCUUCCCUUUCUGUUUCUUUCUUCCCUUGAUGGGGGCAGUGGGAGCCUUGCUGCUAUGGGCUUGCUAGUCUGUGGGGCACUUUGCAAGGGCAUCGUGGCCUAAUGGCUGCAUGGCGAGAUGGAGCAGAGGGAUGAGCCUAGGCUGAGCUGGGCUGGGAGAUAGAGGGGUGAAUGCAGAGACAGAUGGACAAACUGGGGGUGAGAGGUAGCUGAGUGGGCAGGCAGACAGACAGCCAAACAGGGGAACAAGGCCUCCUUAACUUGCCCUGCCCCUCAUUUCCUGACAGGUUGACACGGAGGAGCUCUGGCCUCUUUUGGUGGAGUGGGACCGGGAGAUGCAGGCCAAAGCAGAAGAGUUCUCCCUCUGGAUAAAUACUCUGAAGCAGAGGAAGAAAACCUCCUGAGAAGCCUGGAAGAGGAACCCAGACCCCAGGGCAGUCACAGCACAGGGAAGAGCUGUACCAAGACCAGGGUGUGCCAGGGUCUGAAGAAAACAAGAGUGGGAAACAUGAAGUGCAUUCAGCGAUGUCAGGCUAUGAGCACAAGGAUCAGAGUGAGGGGAGCCAGGACUCCUGGGUUCUUUUCCUGCUCCAGGGAAGCAUCCAGCAGGUUAGGACAAGGGAGGAGUUGAGGGGCCAAGAAUCCUGGGUUUCCUUCCCAGCUCUUGAGGCCCUGAGAUGUGACAGCUGAGUGAAAGGGAACUGACUGCAGUGUCCUCAGUAACUUCCCUGACCCUAUCUCCCCCUCCCUAAGGAGCCCCUAGUGUCUGAUCUGGGGUGGAGGGUUCCCCCCAGCCUGGCCUCCCCUUAAUGAGAGCUCUCCCCAUGCUCUGGCUCCCAGGAGGAGGCACAGAGGACACAGACAGGAGAAGGGGUUGGGUCAGAUCUCAAGCUGUGAGGGCAUGUUUGAAUGGGGAGAAGGGCAGGAGAAUGAGAUGAUGGGAGGGAAGGACCCAAGCCUUUUGGGGUGUCCUGGGGGGUGACCCCACUGAGAUGUGACUGUGCUUUCCAUUCCUAAAGCAGACACCUCUGUGGAGGUGAGGAGGAACAGGUGGGAGCAGCAAGGAUCUAUCCCUGAUAUAGGGCCUUCGUUUCCCUACCCCAGGGCCCUAGCAUCCUGUACAAGCAGCUGUCUCCUGGCUGGGCUCCCAUCACCUCGAGGUUCAAGGACCCUGUUCCCAGACAGCACCAAGGACCCAGUGGUCCAGUCUUCUGGACCAGGGCCAGUCCUGUUGGGACAAACAGCCCUGCUGUGCCAUGUGUCAAAGAUUUAUACUGGUCCUAGCCUCCUUCAUCCCACUCUGAGGCCCAUGUGCUUGGUGCAGUGGCUGAAAUCCACUCCCUUCCCUCUCCUGUACCCAAGCUAAGUGUGUCCUGACUCUGCCCCUUCUGUGGGUUCCAGCUGGACUGGGUCCAUCCAACGCUGCUGGCCUCCAACAGUGUAAACCAGGGGUGGGCAAUUAUUUGAGCUGGAGGGCCACUUCAUGAGUUUUGGUGACCUGCUGAGGGCUGGGGGGGCCGGGCAGGGAAAUGAUGAAUGAUCCUAUUUGGCAGUCUCUGGGAGCCUGAGGAAGGAGGGCUGUGGCCUGCACCACUUCGCUCUACUGCAGCCAGGGCUGGGUUGGGCAGUGUGCAGACUCCUCCGCCCCCCGCACCCAUCCCCUCCCCCCACCUUUCUUCCUGUUGGUGCUGCGUAGUCCUGGCACUGCAGCUGUGGGCAGCAGGGCCCACUCAGGAUGGAGUAGGGCACGAUACAGCACACUGGGCAGACAUCCUGCCUGCCCACCUGCCCUCCAAGAUUAGUGGCUGCCAGUGUGCUGCACCAGGAAAGUUGGGAGCAGCUGCCGUGAACCAAGGCCCCUCCACAGCCAGCAUGGACCCACUUCCUAGAGCUGCUGUCCUGGCUGCAGCAGAGCAGAGCUGCACAGGGCACAGGCCUUCCUUAUCAGGCUGUCCACAGUAGCUGACAGACCAGACAGGAUCAACUGGCAGGCCAGAUAUGGCCCCUGGACUGUAUUUUGCCCGCCCAUGGUAUAAAUAGAUUGGCCCUCUGCCCUCCUCCUCUGUGAUCCCCUUUUAUUGUGGACUGUGUCCAAGCUGGUAGGUGCAGCUCUGGAGACAUAAACCAACAGUGAAACCACAGCGAAAAAGCAAAACGUUGUGAAUUCCAUGUAAAAUCUGGUGGGAAAAGCCCCAAAUGUCCCCUCCCCAUCCCCCACCCUCCCCCCUUUCAUAAUAAAACAGCUGCUUCUAAAGUCUCAGGCAUUUUCUUUCAAGCCAAGGGAUUUAGGAGAGAAAUGGGAUCCAGUGCUGAGGAACGGGGCCUCCCAGUAUCCCUGGUCAGCCCCAGCCGCACCAACCUCAAGGGAAUGGCCAUCUCCUGCCAGGUCUAGCUCGGCUCUGGGUGACUACAUGGUCCCUCUGGGAAAGAGCUGCAUCCUGCACCUGAGUUCCAGCCCCUGAGAUCCCAUCUGGGGGCCAGUGGAUGUGAUGCCCAUACGUUUUGUUCUCUGUCCUUCCCUUCUCUCCCUGUGACCCUGGUCUGACUUGUGUGACCAGGGUUACACCUCUGCCUGUGAGGCUGCUGUAGCUCCAGGCUCAGGCCCUGGAGCUGGAGUCAGGAGGCUGACACUACUGCCAUCCUUGCAUGGCCAUGCUCAGAGCCAGACCUCGGGGCUCUCCCCUAGAUUUUCCUCAGCCCUUGGCAACCCUCCCAGCACAGAGGUGAAAGGGAAAGAGUUAGAGAUGGUGCUUGUGGAGAGGGGCUGU